CCCAGGACCACUGGUUCCUCUUGGCAAAACUUGUCCAAGUACCUCCAGCUGGGUUGCCUCCCUGUAAAACACACCUUGUCCUAAGUGACCUUUCCAGUCCCCCUCCCACCAAGCUUCAGCCAGAGGAACUUAGUCUGCUGGUACUAGUCACUGUUGUGCUUUUAUUAGAUGCUCAUUAUCUCCAGAUACCCUCUGACCUUUAGAUUGAACUGACUGUAUAGAAGGCUGCCAGCUUCAGUCACCUCAUGUGCCCCCGCCCCUAUCCUGCUGGGGCUACAGAGAAGAGACAGAACCUUACUCCCACACCCUGACACCACUCCUGGUGCUGAGGGUGGCUGUCUGCUCUUAUUGCCUUGGAGAUCUGAGAGAUCCAAGAAGCCCAGAUCUUUUUGCAUGAGGUGCUUCUGUCAGAGGCCUCCUGUAUUAAUAUGCAGGGGGCCUCUCCCACCCUGCCACAGCUAAGUCCUAGCUUCUCCCCCAGAGCAACCUCUGAAUUACUCCAGCCUAGGCCCAUUGCAAGGGGGAACGGUGUCUGAAAUGCUUCUCACCCCACCCCAUAAGCUGCACUCCAGUUCCCCUGCACAAUGAUGUCUCCUUACACCCUGCCCUUGCAUGCCCCAGAUCACAGUGGUUCAGCUACUCCAGUGCCUGAUGCCAGGCUGGCAGGGUGUGUGUAAGGAUGUGGCUGCAGCAGCAUCUUUCACAGGGACACCAGUUUGGUGGUGAGCAGGCUGCAGCCUCCUCAACUUCUCCAGCAUCAGACCUGCUGCUGUGCAAACUUUCCCGAGGGGAAUGUAAGUCCCUUGUCCUCUCACGUCUAAUGAGAGUGGCAGGUGAGUAGGGGAGGGUUGCAGACCCAGGGAAAGCACGGGACACGACUGGACGGGAGAGAGAGACCCGUGGGCGCGGGGAGUAGGUCCUGGUGGGAGGUGAGCGGAGAGAGCACGUGGAGGUGUUGCAGAGCAGGGCUGGCGGGAUAAAGGCCCUGACUCCCAACGCGGAGCUGGGGCAGCCGAAGCUGAAAGCCCAACCGGCGCCCCUGGAGCAGAGAGACAAGCUCACGUGCACCGGCCCGGUUCCGCGGGGGGGGGAGCCC
RNAcentral lists this long non-coding RNA (1096 nucleotides) under Gopherus agassizii (Agassiz's desert tortoise). RNAcentral's name for it is "lncRNA (ENSGAGG00000006990.1)". Lineage: Eukaryota; Metazoa; Chordata; Testudines; Testudinidae. The record is from RNAcentral.